UCAACCCACAUCAAACGUACAUACAUUUUCUAGAGACAACAAACAAACCUUUCGUGUUUCUGCAUCUAAUCUAGGGUUUCACCUUCAUCAAUUUCCCCCAAAUUUACAUCUAUAAUUCCAAAUCUAUAACUACCGAUCGUCUACCGUCAUCAUCUCCGUCACAGAUCUAACAAAUCUCGCCCUAAUUUUUGCUUUUUCAAACAACAAUUUUGUGCAUAAAUUGAUAAGAUGAAUAUUCAAUCAAUCGAACGGAAAAACUUGAUGAUUGUUCACCGAUCUGUAUGUAUAUGAAUCUGUAAACAACAACAACGACCGGAAUAAAUCGAAGAAGACGAGCGAUAAAUUUAUAAAUUAUCGGAAAAUUAUCAUAAUCGUCCGAUAAUUUAUUUUUAUUUUUACAUUUUUUAUUGAUUUUUUAAACAUUUUUGAAGGAAAAUGUAUAAAUCGGUGGUGGCUGUGUAUGACGGUGAAAGAAUGCUUGGUGAUGUUGAGGUUUAUUAUAAUCCUCAUCUGAUGAAUCUGAACAUGAGAGAGAAAUUGAAGGAUAAAAUCAGGAUAUCGUAUUAUUCUACACCGAGUGAGAGAUGCUCGCCACUUGCUGUUCUGCAUACAAUCACUUCACCGCCAGUUGGAGUUUGCUUGAAAUUGGAGUGCGUCAACAACAUCAAUUUGAACUCGCAACUGAGUGUUUUGCACUCUACUUGUCUCAGGGAGAAUAAGACUGCUGUUGUUUCACUUGGUGGGGAUGAACUACACUUGGUAGCCAUGCGUUCUAGAAGAAACGAAUUAUUACCAUGUUUUUGGGGAUUUAGUGUUGCACCGGGACUUUAUGAGUCAUGUCUUGUCAUGCUAAACCUAAGAUGUCUCGGCAUUGUUUUUGACCUUGAUGAAACUCUUAUAGUGGCCAAUACUUCAAGAUCAUUUGAGGAUAGAAUUGAAGCUUUACAAAGGAAAGUAAGCUGUGAGAUUGAUCCACAACGGAUUGCUGGUAUGCUUUCCGAGAUUAAACGUUAUCAAGAUGAUAGAAAUAUCUUAAAGCAAUAUGCAGAAAGUGAUCAAGUUGUUGAAAACGGCAAGAUAAUUAAAGCACAGUCCGAGGUUGUCCCUGCUCUGUCAGACAAUCAUCAAACCCUUGUUCGCCCACUUAUAAGAUUGCAGGAGAAAAACAUCAUUCUUACCCGUAUCAACCCACAGAUCCGCGAUACGAGUGUCCUUGUGCGAUUGAGACCUGCAUGGGAGGAUCUUAGAAGCUACUUGAUAGCAAGAGGACGAAAACGAUUUGAGGUUUACGUUUGUACAAUGGCUGAAAGAGAUUAUGCUUUGGAAAUGUGGAGGCUUCUUGAUCCAGAUUCAAAUUUAAUAACCGUAAAAGAGUUACUGAAUCGUAUCGUGUGUGUGAAAUCUGGUUUGAAGAAAUCACUUUUUAAUGUUUUCCAAGAUGGAAACUGUCAUCCUAAGAUGGCAUUAGUUAUUGAUGAUCGUUUGAAAGUGUGGGAUGAGAGAGAUCAGCCUCGUGUUCAUGUUGUUCCCGCCUUUGCUCCAUAUUAUGCUCCUCAAGCUGAAGCAAACAGUGCUGUUCCUAUCCUUUGUGUUGCUAGAAAUGUUGCUUGCAAUGUCAGAGGUGGUUUUUUCAAAGAGUUUGAUGAUGUUCUUCUGCAACGAAUCAAUGAAGUUGCACAUGAAGAUGAAAUCAAAGAUAUAUUGCCUCCAGAUGUGAGCAACUAUUUGAUUUCUGAGGAUGAUGCUUUGGCUUUAAAUGGGAACAAAGAAUCACUCGGUUUUGAUGGAAUGGCUGAUGUUGAAGUGGAAAGAAGAUUAAAGGAAGCUAUAGCCUCAUCAAAUAUAGCUCCGGCUAUUGCUUCAGCAAAUAUAGCUCCAGUGAUACCUAAACUUGAUUCGGUACUCAAGACAACUUUCCAGUACAAUACCACACCUGCAUCAAUGCCUAUUGUGCCUCCAGGUCCAAUCGUCCAAUACCCCAAUAAACAACUGACACCUGUACUCGAACCAUUAACUCAAGUGACCCAUCAAGAAACAAGCUUACACAGUUCACCUGCACGGGAAGAAGGUGAGGUGCCAGAAUCUGAGCUAGACCCUGACACAAGACGCAGACUUCUCAUUUUACAACACGGUAUGGACAUGAGAGAACCAACCACCACUGAACCACAACCACCUCAGUUUCCUGUAAGACCACCACCUCCAAUGCAAGUUUCUGCUCCUCGGGUUGAGCCACGUGGCGGUGGGUGGUUCCCAGUGGGUGAAGAAAUGGGCCCUAGACAGUUGAACCGGAUAGCACAACCUCCUAAAGAAUUUCCUUUACAUUCUGAAGCUAUGCAUAUUGAUAAAAAACACACUCUUAUGGCACCACCCUUUGUUCAUAAGGUGGAAGCUUCUGUACUGCCUGAGAGAAUUCUUGAAAAUCAGAGGCUUCCUAAGGAGGUUCUUCAGAGAGAUGAUAGCUUGAGGUUAAGCCAUUCACCUCCUGUUUACCCCUCGUUUCCAGGAGAGGGAAGUUCUAUGGGCCAAUCAUCAUCCAGCAACAGAGAUAUGGACAUUGAAACAGGUGGCAAUGAUACUUUUGCAGAAUCCCCUGCUGAAUAUCUACAUUUUAUCGCCUUCAAGUGCGGAGCCAAGGUGGAAUUCAGGCCGGCUCUUCUCCCUAGCAUUGAUCUGCAGUUUUCUUUUGAGUUCAUCAUCAAUCAUCAAGACCAUCAUCAAAGUCAUCAGAACUUCCAUCAACAUCAAUUGGAUAUUCAGCUUCGGAUUCAUCAACAUCGUCUUUUUCAGAAUCUUCAUCCACAAAAGCUCUUGGAGAAGAAGAGAGCAUUUGGGGUUUUUAAUUUUCAGAAAAGAUCGAGGGUCUGGUGGCUGAUUAGGGUUAAAAAGGAUAAGGAAACACAUCUUUAUCCAAUGGUUAAAAGGAAUGGUUUACAGUUGUAAAAAAAACUUAAAAAAUAACAUUAAAACAGAAAAGUGCGCCUGAUAGAAAAAAAGCCUGCGUUUUUACUCGUUGCGCCUUAUUCUGGGCGCGCGCCUGAGCACCGUUUUUACAAAAAAAGGCCCAUAUUUGCACCUAAGCUACCACCAGGCGCUAUAGGCUCGCCUCGCUGCGCCCGAGCGCCUAGGCGCGCGCCUUUUGCGCUUUUGACAACUAUGUUAAUGUGUAGUUAUGAGACAGUUCUUGAGUCUUUAAUUUUGGGUCAAACAAUUAACCGCCUUUUACAGGUUUGGUUUGCUGGAGAAAAGGUCGGCGAAGGAACUGGAAGGACCCGAAGGGAAGCUCAACAUCAAGCCGCUGAGUCAUCUCUUAUGAAUUUGGCAGAUAAGUAUUUAUCUCGUCAAAAAUCAGGAGACGAUGGAAGGUUUAUAAAUGACGGAAAUUCUUUCGGGAAUUUAAGGGAGGAAUCUAUGGCCUUUCCAACUUCUUCUGGACCAGCUAAGCUAGAGAUUCCAAGAAAAGGGUCAAUUGCUGCACUUAAUGAAUUAUGCAUGAUGGAAGGUUUGGCUUUGACUUUUCAACCUCAGCCUCAAGUCUCAACUAGUAUGGGCCAGAACAAUGAACUAUAUGCACAGGUUGAAAUAGAUGGGGAAGUGUGGGGUAAGGGAGUUGGGUUAACAUGGGACGAAGCUAAGAUGCAGGCUGCUGAAACUGCUUUUGUAAAUUUGAAAGCGAGAAUCGGGCAAUACCCUCAAAAACGUCAACCUUCUCCCAGAUCAUUUCAAGGAAUGCCAACGAAACGGUUUAGACCAGAGUACCCAAGAGUUUUGCAAAGAAUGCCUUCUUCCGCAAGAUACCCCAAGAACGCUUCACCCGUUCCUUAACAAAUCUCCUUCUUGGUACAGAUUUUCCAACAGUAUUAAUGGAUUCUUAACAACUUAACAACAAACUGCCUUACCAUGAUCGGUAUUUAAAUACCUGUUUGUGAAUGAAAUCCUCCGGACCAAGCCAAGACCGUUUGGUUGUAUAUGAAAUUCGAUACAAUGAUGUGGGGAAAAGCAAAUUGUAUCUGAUGGGCGGAAAACUGCCAGUAGCUCCACCAAUGUUGGAACGUAGGAUUGACAAUUGAAAUGGAAUCUUGAUUUGGGGUGAAUGGUGAACGGUGUUGCUUGAUGUUAUGAAGCGACCGUCGCGCCAAAGAUGAUUGCUGAAUUUAAGUUGAUGAUGAUGAUGAUGAUGAUGACUGUAACUUUGUAAUUUGCAGAAGCUGCCGUUGGAGGUCGAGGUUUUUUUUUUUCUUUUUUUGUUUACAUUUUUUUUGCUUUUGAUUAUUUAAGGCAUGCUUCCCAACGUAAAUCCUUUUAUUUUUUGGGAAGAAUAGAAUUUGUUUUGCAUUUUGCCUUUGUUCUUGCGUUUAUACAAGGGUGAGCAAAAUAUAUUUUGGUUCAAUUCUUUA
Helianthus annuus (common sunflower) is the source of this 4394-nucleotide RNA transcript. It is a transcript of the gene named RNA polymerase II C-terminal domain phosphatase-like 1, with no coding region annotated. NCBI's taxonomy places the organism in Eukaryota, Viridiplantae, Streptophyta, Magnoliopsida, Asterales, Asteraceae. The record is from RefSeq and is a predicted model, not a curated record. The transcript is spliced from 16 exons.